AUACGUAGGGUGCAAGCGUUAAUCGGAAUUACUGGGCGUAAAGCGUGCGCAGGCGGUUUUGUAAGACAGAGGUGAAAUCCCCGGGCUCAACCUGGGGACUGCCUUUGUGACUCCAAGGCUAGAGUACGGCAGAGGGGGAUGGGAUUUCGCGUGUAGCAGUGAAAUGCGUAGAUAUGCGUAUGAACACCGAUGGCGAGGGCACUCCCCUGGGCCUGUUCUGACACUCAAGCACGAAAGCGUGGGGAGCAAACAGGAUUAGAUACCCUGGUAUUCCACGCCCUAAACGAUGUCAUCUGGUUGUUGGGUCUUCAUUGACUCAGUAACGAAGCAAACGCGUGAAGUUGACCGCCUGAGGAGUACGGCCGCAAGGUUGAAACUCAAAUGAAUUGACGGGG
This 395-nucleotide ribosomal RNA is filed under the name uncultured bacterium. Its description in RNAcentral is "partial 16S ribosomal RNA". It matches the Rfam family "Bacterial small subunit ribosomal RNA", at positions 523 to 918 of the family's 1533-position model. The record is from RNAcentral.